RNAcentral lists this microRNA (22 nucleotides) under Echinococcus granulosus. RNAcentral's name for it is "egr-miR-10243-5p". The record is from miRBase by way of RNAcentral. Lineage: Eukaryota; Metazoa; Platyhelminthes; Cestoda; Cyclophyllidea; Taeniidae.
UAGAGCUUGACGUGUUGGAGAC